GUGAGGUAACGGCUCACCAAGGCAUCGACGGGUAGCUGGUCUGAGAGGACGAUCAGCCACACUGGAACUGAGACACGGUCCAGACUCCUACGGGAGGCAGCAGUAGGGAAUCUUGCACAAUGGGCGAAAGCCUGAUGCAGCGACGCCGCGUGGGGGAUGAAGGCCUUCGGGUUGUAAACCCCUUUCAGUAGGGACGAAAAUGACGGUACCUACAGAAGAAGCUCCGGCCAACUACGUGCCAGCAGCCGCGGUAACACGUAGGGAGCAAGCGUUGUCCGGAUUUAUUGGGCGUAAAGAGCUCGUAGGUGGUUCCGUAAGUCGGAUGUGAAAACUCAAGGCUCAACCUUGAGACGCCAUCCGAUACUGCGGUGACUUGAGUUCGGUAGAGGAGUGUGGAAUUCCUGGUGUAGCGGUGAAAUGCGCAGAUAUCAGGAGGAACACCAACAGCGAAGGCAGCACUCUGGGCCGAUACUGACACUGAGGAGCGAAAGCAUGGGGAGCAAACAGGAUUAGAUACCCUGGUAGUCCAUGCCGUAAACGUUGGGCACUAGGUGUUGCGGUCUGAUCAAUGACUGCGGUGCCGAAGCUAACGCAUUAAGUU
This 601-nucleotide ribosomal RNA is filed under the name uncultured Actinomycetes bacterium. RNAcentral describes it as "bacterial SSU rRNA". It matches the Rfam family "Bacterial small subunit ribosomal RNA", at positions 252 to 866 of the family's 1533-position model. Lineage: Bacteria; Bacillati; Actinomycetota; Actinomycetes. The record is from RNAcentral.